Molecule: long non-coding RNA, 2274 nt
Organism: Brassica napus (rape)
Lineage: Eukaryota; Viridiplantae; Streptophyta; Magnoliopsida; Brassicales; Brassicaceae
Exons: 4
Source: RefSeq, a predicted model, not a curated record
AUUUUGACCACGUCAUUGAGGCAAUCUCGAGACUGAUUAAUAGUGGGCUUAUUUGUGUGGGUUUAAUUUAUUUUCCCAUGGCCCCAAAUUUCUCACAUUUAGCAAAAACCUAAUCUUCCUCCCAACUGAUUAAUCGUCUCCGGCCUUUCCUCUCCGUCGUUGUCGUUUCACUUCUGAGUCAUUUAACAUUUUCUUUACUCUCUCUUCUUUUAUGGUUUCGUUCCAACUCCCUACGUUUCUCCUCCUAUAUAAAGUCUUUUGUAUCAACCAAAAACCUACAGCCUCACGGAAAAAGACAAAACUACUGCUGCUAAAUCCACCAGACACUCUCCCGUCUACAGCUGUGCAGCCGAGGAGGUUUCAAGCAGUGGUUCCAUGGUCGGUGCUUUAGUGGCUACCUCCGACUGGUUUACUGAUGGCAGCCAGGGUUUGCAAACAAUGACAGAGACAGAGGAAGAUGUGGAAACCUGCGGAGGAGUAGGGUUCCGAACGGAGCUCAAAGUAUUCAUAUCAGCUUCCUAAGGUAUGGAUUUUAAAGUCUGUAAUAAAUUUGAAACUUCUUGCUACGGUUCAAGGUGUUGUUGUCUACCUUAUGCAGCAGGACAACGUCAAACGUUUUCCUUCCUUUGACCAUUCUAAUUAUAGCAUAUCUUCAGGUCGAUUAAGGACUAGAUUCACUAUAUCAUUGUUUGAGAAUGAGAUCAUUAACCUAAACUUUCAGGUUUAUAAUAUGUUCAAGCUCUGAUUACUUGCAGCUCUUCUAAUUCAUUGUUUAUUCUGCUUAAAUGCAUAUGCAACAACCGGAAUCAUGUGUAUAUGUUAUGUUUUGCAUGUAUUAGCUUUCGAAAAAGACUUUGCAAGUAGAGAUGUUGAAGCUUUUGCAUCUGUUGAUAAAUUCAUCGAAACCAGUGGUGGAGAUUCUGCUGAUAACAUCAGUUGGAUUUUAUAUGGCUUUUGAUGGAGUCAAUCUUCUUGGUCAUGAUACUUAAGAAAUAUUUGAACAGCGUUGAUUGUCUUCUAUGUGUUUAGUCCUUCGCUAUUGGAAACCGUUUAGCUGGUAGCGUAACAUAUGAAAGCUUGGUGAACAUCUGGGUUGUAUUCUCAUCACUAAGCCUUCUUCGCCUAGAUCUUCGUGGUCUCAUUGUUGGUUGAUGUGCGGCUGGGAAUCUGGGAAUAUACCAUCAAUCAUAAUCCCAACUGUUUAUAAAGACAAAGGAGAGGUCUAUUUGAAGAUCCUGAGAAUUGCCACAAAUAUGGAAUGGGUUAUGUUGCACUCUCCAUGUCCGUAAGUAGUCAUCUCACUUCUUCAAAGUUUUAUCGGUGUAUAUUUUAUUUUUGGCAUCAGCCACCAGCUAUACAUAUAUCAUACAGCUAUACAAUGAAGAAAUAAUAAUUUUCAAUUUAUAUAUUUUGUUUUCAAAAAGAAUUAUAACAAUCUUAGUUGUAACAGAUGUAGCUGAGAUUUUGUAACAUACACACAAUUCCCAAAAAUCACCAAGAACCCUUAUUGUUGCACACCUGAAAGAAUAGUUGAUCACGAGUAUGUUUCAAUGAAAAUCAUAAAUCUUCUUUCUGUAAAAAGAAAUAAAAACCCUUUGAAGACUGUUUACGAAGUUGCAGUCGAGUGCUUUGGUUUGGAGAUUUGAAUUACAGAGUUUCUUUAUCCUAUUAAGAGAUGAGUAUUUCUAGAGACAAUGAUUGUGACACACUACUUGAGAAAGACCAGGUUUUGUAGUAGAAAUUAUCUUUAAAACUCAAAUCUUUAUUGAAGACCAAGAUGAGUGUUUCUCUCGAAACUCAGAUUCUCACGCCGGAGAAGCCACUAAGUCUAAAGAAAAACUAUGUACUCAUGCUUGGUUGGUACUAUCCAAAACUCUAGAAACACGUUUUUGUGGUGUGUUUGGAAUGUUUUCAGGUUUGAUCUGAUUCCAUGAGGAGGAGAAGGAAUAGAACUUUCUUAUACUCUAGGAGAAUCACGGUUUUCAGAUCACAGACCGGUUUGUGCAAAUAUUUGCAGGAGAAGUUGUUGUGAAGAGUCUGAGAAACAUAGAUAAUGUUAUUCAUGUGCGGCUGCAAGAUUGGUUGAGGAUUGCACUCCAAACUCAUAGUUUUAACUAAGAUUAUUAUAGUUCUUUUUGAGAACAAAAUAUAUGAUUUUUAAUAGUAAUUUUUCCUCAUUGUGUGUAUGGUUAAUUUUUGGCAUCAGCCGUCAUGAUACAUAUAUGUACUUCAAUGUUAUCAGAUGAGAUCUGUUUGCAUAUGAAGUUAUUGACA